This is a non-coding RNA of Caenorhabditis elegans, 124 nucleotides long. The record is from Ensembl. NCBI's taxonomy places the organism in Eukaryota, Metazoa, Nematoda, Chromadorea, Rhabditida, Rhabditidae.
AGAAAACACAAAAAUUGUACGAAGAUGGUAGACGUUAACUUGUAAAAUGAGAUUGAGCGUGAAAGUGGAUGAAAAGAGAGAGAGAGAACGUCGCUUAAUCAAAUUGUGUCUUCAAGAAGAAGAA